This 537-nucleotide ribosomal RNA is filed under the name uncultured bacterium. RNAcentral describes it as "partial 16S ribosomal RNA". It matches the Rfam family "Bacterial small subunit ribosomal RNA", at positions 355 to 881 of the family's 1533-position model. The record is from RNAcentral.
UGGGGAAUAUUGCACAAUGGGCGCAAGCCUGAUGCAGCCAUGCCGCGUGUGUGAAGAAGGCCUUCGGGUUGUAAAGCACUUUCAGCGAGGAGGAAGGUGGUGAGCUUAAUACGCUCAUCAAUUGACGUUACUCGCAGAAGAAGCACCGGCUAACUCCGUGCCAGCAGCCGCGGUAAUACGGAGGGCGCAAGCGUUAAUCGGAAUUACUGGGCGUAAAGCGCACGCAGGCGGUUUGUUAAGUCAGAUGUGAAAUCCCCGGGCUCAACCUGGGAACUGCAUUUGAAACUGGCAAGCUAGAGUCUCGUAGAGGGGGGUAGAAUUCCAGGUGUAGCGGUGAAAUGCGUAGAGAUCUGGAGGAAUACCGGUGGCGAAGGCGGCCCCCCUGGACGAAGACUGACGCUCAGGUGCGAAAGCGUGGGGAGCAAACAGGAUUAGAUACCCCUGGUAGUCCACGCUGUAAACGAUGUCGAUUUUGGAGGUUGUGCCCUUGAGGCGUGGCUUCCGGAGCUAACGCGUUAAAUCGACCGCCUGGGGGAG